UCAUCCCUGCGAUGCCCGUGAUGGUGAGUGGAAAUUGAGCUAACGUUGAUUGAAUCGGGGACCUGAGUCCGCCAGUGGUGUGCGGUUCCCUCGUCGGAAACGCCUGAAGCUGGAGGCAGGGUUCCCACACUGCUAUGAGCGGGGUUCAAUCACACGAGCCACACGGCAGAGCGGGGAAUUC
This 181-nucleotide non-coding RNA is filed under the name Acidobacteriota bacterium. Its description in RNAcentral is "Acidobacteria bacterium 6S RNA". It matches the Rfam family "6S / SsrS RNA". Rfam says of the family: E. coli 6S RNA was the first non coding RNA to be sequenced, but its function was unknown until recently. It consists of 184 nucleotides that fold into an extended hairpin structure with a large single-stranded internal bulge. The 6S RNA specifically associates with RNA polymerase holoenzyme containing the sigma70 specificity factor. The record is from RNAcentral. Lineage: Bacteria; Pseudomonadati; Acidobacteriota.